UCAAAUCAUCAUGCCCCUUAUGCUUAGGGCUACACACGUGCUACAAUGGGUAGUACAGAGGGUUGCCAAGCCGUAAGGUGGAGCUAAUCCCUUAAAGCUACUCUCAGUUCGGAUUGUAGGCUGAAACUCGCCUACAUGAAGCUGGAGUUACUAGUAAUCGCAGAUCAGAAUGCUGCGGUGAAUGCGUUCCCGGGUCUUGUACACACCGCCCGUCACACCACGGGAGUUGGAGACGCCCGAAGCCGAUUAUCUAACCGUUUGGAAGAAGUCGUCGAAGGUGGAAUCAAUAACUGGGGUGAAGUCGUAACAAGGUAGCCGUAUCGGAAGGUGCGGCUGGAUCACCUCCUUUCUAAGGAGA
This 358-nucleotide ribosomal RNA is filed under the name Clostridioides difficile. RNAcentral's name for it is "bacterial SSU rRNA". It matches the Rfam family "Bacterial small subunit ribosomal RNA", at positions 1185 to 1533 of the family's 1533-position model. Lineage: Bacteria; Bacillati; Bacillota; Clostridia; Peptostreptococcales; Peptostreptococcaceae. The record is from RNAcentral.